UACAGAGGGUGCAAGCGUUAAUCGGAUUUACUGGGCGUAAAGGGCGCGUAGGUGGUAAAGCAAGUAAGAUGUGAAAGCCCUGGGCUUAACCUGGGAAGUGCAUCUUAAACUGCUUAACUUGAGUAUGGUAGAGGGUAGUGGAAUUUCCGGUGUAGCGGUGAAAUGCGUAGAGAUCGGAAGGAACGCCAGUGGUGAAGACGACUACCUGGACCAAUACUGACACUGAGGCGCGAAAGCGUGGGGAUCAAACAGG
RNAcentral lists this ribosomal RNA (253 nucleotides) under uncultured bacterium. Its description in RNAcentral is "partial 16S ribosomal RNA". It matches the Rfam family "Bacterial small subunit ribosomal RNA", at positions 524 to 776 of the family's 1533-position model. The record is from RNAcentral.